AUCAACAACAACACAACAACACAACCAUUACACAACAUUCAGCUCUGACACUUACAUCCGUCUCACUGAACGUCCUGCUUCCUAUCAUAAUAAUAGGUCUGUUGAUGGCAAGAUGUCGGAAACAAAAAAAAAAGAGUCUAAAACCACAGCCGAAUGCUGAAGUCGAGUUGAGCAGAUUAAAAACCUGAAUACAGCUGAGUUUGCAGAAGUGGAGUUUUGUCUGUGUGAAUAACAUUGCAGUGAGGCCGGCAACAUUUUUACAUCACAAACCAACAAUAAAAUGAAGACAAACACAAUAUAAAUCUGUCUGUCUGUAUAG
Molecule: long non-coding RNA, 319 nt
Organism: Paramisgurnus dabryanus
Lineage: Eukaryota; Metazoa; Chordata; Actinopteri; Cypriniformes; Cobitidae
Source: RefSeq, a predicted model, not a curated record